UACAGAGGGGGCAAGCGUUGUUCGGAAUUAUUGGGCGUAAAGAGCUCGUAGGCGGUUUGUCACGUCGGAUGUGAAAGCCCGGGGCUUAACUCCGGGUCUGCAUUCGAUACGGGCAGACUAGAGUGUGGUAGGGGAGAUCGGAAUUCCUGGUGUAGCGGUGAAAUGCGCAGAUAUCAGGAGGAACACCGGUGGCGAAGGCGGAUCUCUGGGCCAUUACUGACGCUGAGGAGCGAAAGCGUGGGGAGCGAACAGG
RNAcentral lists this ribosomal RNA (253 nucleotides) under uncultured bacterium. RNAcentral describes it as "partial 16S ribosomal RNA". It matches the Rfam family "Bacterial small subunit ribosomal RNA", at positions 524 to 776 of the family's 1533-position model. The record is from RNAcentral.